GGCGUGGUUUGAAUGGGGCGCUCUGGAAAAUUCGAUGGAUUAACUAGUUUUAAAAGGAAACGUCUUGAAAUAAAGGAUCCAGGGACCAAUGCCAGGAUCAUGUAUUGUUGUCCAGAAUGUCUACAGGACUUGCUAUAUGUGCGACAUAGGUGAGUCCUUUCUGGCCAAGAGGGAUGAAGCAUGGAUCAUCAUCACACACCACCAUGGCUGCAGCCUACUGUCAUUGUCAACGUCCCAGGUUAUCACAGUAGACCAAAGGUGACAUGGCGUGGGCAGUCCAAAUGAUAGGGAUGGAUGGCGAAGGCUGUUUCCCAUACAGCAACUACAACAGCAGCCAUCCAGACCAGGGCACGUACCUUCCCUGAGAGGGAGAUUAGGGUUUAGGAAGUGGAGCAGGCCUUUGAGAUGACAUGGCUAAAAUGAACCCCGUGCCUAGUGAAUGCGUGGUAUAAAUAGCUGACAGGAAGAUCUCCAGGUUGCAUGCAUCAUUAGUGACUGCACGUCACUAUAAACACUGUCAACAAACAUUGCCCGGCCAUUGUAAACAUGACACAGAUUGGGAUUUUUCUUGAUAUGAUGACUAGUAGUGGUGUACUAGUCAACUAUGUCAUGCUUACUGGGCUUUCGAUGUACACAAAGAUUUACAGUAAAGGCAACAAUAUGAAGCAUAUUUGAUAGGAUUAGUCUUAUUGAUAUUUUUGAAACAGUAUUUAUGUCUACUGAAGUGUUGAUCUUGGUAUAGUAUCUUUUAGCACAUGUAUCAGGGGCGGAUCCUGGCUUUAACCCAGUCCACUGGUAAACCCUCACACCAUGAGCCUACUGCUUCUGUUCCACAUGUCUUAUGUUGUGCUGGGUUGUUUAGUCUGGGGAUCUACUGACUGAGAGGAGACCAGAUCGCCACCUCUCUCGUCAAUACUCCUGCAUGUACCAUGUCUCCUCAGAGAACACACGCUUUAAUCAGACAGAUCCCUUACAUCUCCUUGCUGCUGGCAGAGAGAGAAGCAGUGCGGAGAUAAACGCGGAUUAUUUUACCGAUAAGACUCCUUCCCUUCCCACCAUGGUAAGAUGAACCCAAGGAGUGAAUGCUGAUGUGAACGCUUUCCCUCUCUUUCUCUCUAUCUGAACCUGAAAUGGGUCAAUGCAACAUACUGUCCUUACAAUAUGUAAUUGACUGUAUCGUUAAACUGUUCCUAAAGCUGUU
This is a long non-coding RNA of Oncorhynchus tshawytscha (Chinook salmon), 1201 nucleotides long. RefSeq lists it as uncharacterized. NCBI's taxonomy places the organism in Eukaryota, Metazoa, Chordata, Actinopteri, Salmoniformes, Salmonidae. The record is from RefSeq and is a predicted model, not a curated record. The transcript has 3 exons.